AGAGUUUGAUCCUGGCUCAGGAUGAACGCUGGCGGCGUGCUUAACACAUGCAAGUCGAACGAUGAUCCGGUGCUUGCACCGGGGAUUAGUGGCGAACGGGUGAGUAACACGUGAGUAACCUGCCCUUAACUCUGGGAUAAGCCUGGGAAACUGGGUCUAAUACCGGAUAUGACUCCUCAUCGCAUGGUGGGGGGUGGAAAGCUUUAUUGUGGUUUUGGAUGGACUCGCGGCCUAUCAGCUUGUUGGUGAGGUAAUGGCUCACCAAGGCGACGACGGGUAGCCGGCCUGAGAGGGUGACCGGCCACACUGGGACUGAGACACGGCCCAGACUCCUACGGGAGGCAGCAGUGGGGAAUAUUGCACAAUGGGCGCAAGCCUGAUGCAGCGACGCCGCGUGAGGGAUGACGGCCUUCGGGUUGUAAACCUCUUUCAGUAGGGAAGAAGCGAAAGUGACGGUACCUGCAGAAGAAGCGCCGGCUAACUACGUGCCAGCAGCCGCGGUAAUACGUAGGGCGCAAGCGUUAUCC
RNAcentral lists this ribosomal RNA (527 nucleotides) under soil bacterium S79D1. RNAcentral describes it as "bacterial SSU rRNA". It matches the Rfam family "Bacterial small subunit ribosomal RNA", at positions 8 to 546 of the family's 1533-position model. The record is from RNAcentral.